CCUACGGGUGGCAGCAGUGGGGAAUAUUGGACAAUGGGCGAAAGCCUGAUCUAGCCAUGCCGCGUGUGUGAAGAAGGCCUUCGGGUUGUAAAGCACUUUCAGUGGGGAAGAAAGCCUUGGGGCUAAUACCCUCGAGGAAGGACAUCACCCACAGAAGAAGCACCGGCUAACUCCGUGCCAGCAGCCGCGGUAAUACGGAGGGUGCGAGCGUUAAUCGGAAUUACUGGGCGUAAAGCGCGCGUAGGCGGUCUGAUAAGCCGGUUGUGAAAGCCCCGGGCUCAACCUGGGAACGGCAUCCGGAACUGUCAGGCUAGAGUGCAGGAGAGGAAGGUAGAAUUCCCGGUGUAGCGGUGAAAUGCGUAGAGAUCGGGAGGAAUACCAGUGGCGAAGGCGGCCUUCUGGACUGACACUGACGCUGAGGUGCGAAAGCGUGGGUAGCAAACAGGAUUAGAUACCCUAGUAGUC
Molecule: ribosomal RNA, 465 nt
Filed under: Vreelandella stevensii
Lineage: Bacteria; Pseudomonadati; Pseudomonadota; Gammaproteobacteria; Oceanospirillales; Halomonadaceae
Description: partial 16S ribosomal RNA
Rfam family: Bacterial small subunit ribosomal RNA
Source: RNAcentral